GAAUCUGCCAUUUGCGAAUUGCAGAUGCUGCGGUCUCAAUUUACCAAGCUUCUGCAAGAAAAGGAAAAUGCGGAAGAAUGCCAUCUCCGGAGUCAAAGAACUAUUAAAGAUUUAAGUUCUGAGGUCCUUGAAUUGAAGUCAGAAAUAAUUGACAAAGAGAAGGGCUAUGAAGCUAGAAUGAAAGAAUUGGAGAUAGAUAUGCAAGAAAAGGAUUCAUCACUUAUUUUAUGGCAUAAAGAGAAAGAGGCACUUGAAUUUGAGCUCGCAGAGGCAAAAUGUCUUGCCCUACAGAAAUCAAUUGAGGCAUCAAUUCUUUUAGCCAAGUUUCAAGAAGCACAGGCAACUAUAGCUGAUGCAGACUCUACAGUCAAGGCACUGGUGGAAUUGAAUGAAAAUGCAAAACAUCAAGCAGAGAAGUACAAGCAAAAGGAAUCUUCAUUUACUAUUGAAAAGGAUGACUUGCUAAGUGAGGUCAGUAGUUUGAAGAUGCUGCUGGAUGUGAAGGAACUAACUUACCUGGAUAUGGAAAAUAAAUUUGGAUCAAGCCUGCUUGAAGCAAAUGAGGUAGCUCUUGAACUGGAAGAUGGCAUCAGACACCUGAAGAAUUCGCUAACGGAGAACCUUGAGUUUGUUUCGUCUAAUAUUGAAUGGAUGAAGUCAAAACUUCAGCAGUUUGCAGAGUUGGCAAGAGCUUGGUUGGAGGAGAAUUGGUUAGAGAUAAUUGGAAAAGAUUAUGCUGUUUCUGUGUUACACCUGUGCCAUAUGGGGAUUUUUUCAGCGAGAAUUACUGGGCUGCAUGCAGAAAAUGGU
Molecule: ribosomal RNA, 810 nt
Filed under: Triticum aestivum (bread wheat)
Lineage: Eukaryota; Viridiplantae; Streptophyta; Magnoliopsida; Poales; Poaceae
Description: partial small subunit ribosomal RNA
Source: RNAcentral